This is a non-coding RNA of Pelobates cultripes (western spadefoot toad), 617 nucleotides long. The record is from the annotation of a GenBank genome assembly. Lineage: Eukaryota; Metazoa; Chordata; Amphibia; Anura; Pelobatidae.
UCUACUGCCAUGCUGCGACAUUGUAAAGCUUUUAUUGCAAUCUUAAUACUUUCUUCGCAGUGCUGUUUUCUUUAUAUAGUUAGCAUGUCAAUUUUAAGAUAGAAAGUCAUUUCUAAGCUAGCAAUUAAAAGUAGCUCCUAUUAGUGUAACUAAUUUUGCACAUAUAUCACGGUUUGUCAUAAAUUUCCAUUACUGUAACUCCCCUCUGAAGUCACAGCUGUCUUUUGCAUUAAAUAGAAUUUUUUAUACUAUAAGACUCCCUGCCCAUGAUUAAUCUUGAAUGACUGAAUUUUGUUAGUUUGUUUGCAUUUGUGAGUUUAUCAGUGUUGAGUCCCCAAAACAGCAGCAUAUCAUCUUUUAUGAUGAAUUAUUAAAAUGAGUUUGUUAAACACCUUUCACUGUAUAUGGUGUUUCCACUUUAAUUGUAAGCUCUUUGGAACAGUUUCUUACAGACCGAAGCUUGAUAUGUUACUGAGAAGCACUUGCUAUUAAAGUUGUAUUUAAGACAGCACGUGAUUCAACUAGUUCUAUGACUAAGCCUAGUUUUAUCUGUAAGGCGUUCUAUUUAUGGAAGCUGGCCAAUGGUAAGGAGUAUAUUGGUGUGCUUCUUAGUUAUG